Dalotia coriaria is the source of this 650-nucleotide long non-coding RNA. RefSeq lists it as uncharacterized. Lineage: Eukaryota; Metazoa; Arthropoda; Insecta; Coleoptera; Staphylinidae. The record is from RefSeq and is a predicted model, not a curated record. The transcript has 2 exons.
AGACCCACUCGCACGCAUAGGUUACUCGCGGGGUGAGACGUCAGUGCAGCCGCCGGCUUCGACGCAACGAGUCGUAACGUGAUUUCGCGCCAAAACCAUGCCGCGAAUAUAUAUUAAAAGGGGACGAGGACGGGAGAGGUAGAUGAAGGUGCAAUAGAAUCGGCGAUAAAAGAAGUUUUGGAUAAGACAUUAUCUAUUAGAAAAUCUGCACAAAAAUAUGGCGUCAAACCAACAACACUCGAAAGUCGUCUGAAAAGUUUCAUCAACAAGAAGCUGCCGAAAAUAUGCCUACCCGUGCGUUCACUUCCAAGUUUACGUCAAAUCAGGUGUUUUCAACUGAGGAGGAAGCCCUUUUAAACAAUUACAUUAUUGAAUGCUCCAAAAUGCACUACGGUCUGACGAUCAUCCAGGUCAGAAAAUUGGCAUAUGAGUUUGCAAAAGCCAAUCAGCUUAAUUUUCAUCCGAGUUGGCAUCAUAAUAAAAUGGCUGGUAAAGAAUGGUUGGAUAGUUUCCGCAGGCGAAACGGAAACCUGAGUCUUAGAAAGCCUGAAAAUACCAGCGCCGCUAGAUCAUUUGCUUUUAACAAGACUGCUGUAACUGAUUUUUAUAAUAACCUUGAAAAGGUUCUAACAAAGUACAAAUUUACUUCA